UGGUGGAUAGCAAUGACAGAGAUCGAGUUGUCGAGGCCAGGGAUGAGUUGCACAGGAUGCUGAAUGAGGUAUCUUACUUUUUAGUAAAAUCUAUCUGUGUAUAACAUUCAUAGUCAUCAGACAAGAACUGAUGUUCAGGCCAGCCAAGAGGCCAGGAGCAUUAGUUAAUCUGUCAGUCACUCCAUUGAACUAUGGCAGUAUGAAGUAUUUAUCUUUUAGAAAGCAAAUAAUUGCCGAGACAGAAUUUUGAUUUGAAAAAUUGCACCUCAAAUACCAUUUGAGGUGCUUGUUGCUUUCUGAAAUAAUCUUUGAAUUAGUAAUUUCAAUUAACUUUUAAAUAUUAUUGUCAUUUUGGAAGGCAAUAUAGCUAGCUGGAAAGGCUUGUCUGGGAGAGGUUUGCUAUAACUGUUUGCUCUCUCAAAAUAGGUUACAGUAGCAAUUUUAUGGUUAGGGUCCAUCUUAAUUUUCUUGUUAGCAUGGUAGCACCUUAUGAAACAUGUUAUGUUGCAUGAUAUGCUGUUGAUGAAUAUUGGGGUAUAUUGGAUGAAGGAAUUAAAUUGAAGCAAGAGCAAAUGGCAUUUUUGCAGCAUCACUUAAGCAUGUUACUGGAUGGUAUUCUGUUGAGUCGUAUUGAUUUUUCUACAACGAAGUAAUGAAGGGGACAUGAAUUAUAACCAUUAGUAAUAAUAAUAAUGCUGGUUAAUUUAAUCUGGCCAAAAACAAGUGGCAGAUGCCUUAUGAUGUGCAUAUUGGGGUUUGUGCAUAGAUUGUAGUUUAGCUAAAAGAUGGCCAAGAGGAUUUGGCCAAUGAAAUCUUUGACCAGUCCAUGAUGUUGUGCUGGCUGCAUAAGCAGGUGCUAGACAGCAAUUUGUUUGUGUUAUUACUUGUUAAGAAGAGCAUGGAACUAGGAACGGCUUUUUGUGGCAUCAUUUACUUGCAAUACACUAUUUCUAAAGCUAUUUUUUUUUUUUGCAUGGCUGCCAUUUUUUUCAUGUCUUUGUUAGUGGGAGGAGGCAACAGAAACAUUUAUUUGACCAUUCCAGUUUUCAGUUACAUAUCGAAAACUUAAAAUAAAGUGGGAACCAAAAGAAUAAUGUUAAAUGAUUUCUGAUUUCAGGAUGAGCUCCGUGAGGCUGUGCUGCUUGUAUUUGCUAACAAACAAGAUCUCCCUAAUGCUAUGAAUGCUGCCGAGAUAACUGAUAAGCUUGGCCUCCACUCUCUCCGGCAGCGUCACUGGUAAAUUUUCUGGCUGUACUGCCAUCUAAUAGUUUAUUUUAUAGUCUCUAUCUUGUCUUAAAAGUCCUACUGCUAUCCGGUUUCUAAUUUUGCUUAUAUGGUCUUUCCAGGUACAUCCAGAGCACCUGUGCAACCUCUGGUGAAGGGCUUUACGAGGGAUUGGAUUGGCUCUCCAACAAUAUUGCUAACAAGGUAUGAAUUCAAAAAUUCUUUCCGUCCUAUAAACAAAGUUUUAGGGCCAGAAUAUGAGACUUCAAUUUGACCAUCUAAUUAUUGGACUCUUCCAUCAUUAAUUACUGUCCGCAACCUUUUGAUGCUCAAGUUCACUUAGAUUGAACCAACUAUCAGUGCUAUUUCCAAGAGAGAACUUUAUAAAGAUGAACCUUGAGGUGGUGACUUAUGUUUCUAUUAUUUUC
This 1652-nucleotide long non-coding RNA is filed under the name Vitis vinifera (wine grape). RNAcentral's name for it is "long non-coding RNA (VVIN_LNC000125)". Lineage: Eukaryota; Viridiplantae; Streptophyta; Magnoliopsida; Vitales; Vitaceae. The record is from RNAcentral.